GGGGGCUUAGCUCAGUGGCAGAGCGAUGGCAGUUAACGGUCAGGGGUAAUUAAUCUAUUUUAUUUUGUUUUUGUGUGUUCCAUGAUACAGGCCGGCAAAACCAUAGGUCACGGGUUCAAUUCCCGUAGCUCCCA
RNAcentral lists this transfer RNA (134 nucleotides) under Siphoviridae sp. ctrgQ8. RNAcentral's name for it is "tRNA-OTHER". It matches the Rfam family "tRNA". Rfam says of the family: Transfer RNA (tRNA) molecules are approximately 80 nucleotides in length. Their secondary structure includes four short double-helical elements and three loops (D, anti-codon, and T loops). Lineage: Duplodnaviria; Heunggongvirae; Uroviricota; Caudoviricetes. RNAcentral also lists the same sequence under 1 other name. The record is from RNAcentral.